UCAGAAUGAGAUUCUGGGCAUCCAGAACACCUCCCGAAAGCAGGUGGAAGACAUCACUGAUGCGAAUUCCAGUCUGGAAGAAACCACAGAGCCACCUGCAGAUGGCAAACAUCUGCAGGAGCAUGAAGUGGGCCAAAUGCCAGCCACUGAGGAGCUUCCACAGGAAGCACAGGAGUCCCCCAGCCUCGCAUGUGAAGACCAGCAGGGGAGAGGGGACCCCCUGGGUGCCUGUGUAUGCCUUGAGCCAGGUCUCUGUGCUGGGGGUGACUCUACCUGGACCCUGGGCAGCUCUAUUGACAGAGACAAGAACAAGAGUCUGUCAGUGGCUGUGGAGCAGAGGA
Long non-coding RNA from Erinaceus europaeus (western European hedgehog), 341 nucleotides. RefSeq lists it as uncharacterized. The transcript is spliced from 4 exons. The record is from RefSeq and is a predicted model, not a curated record. NCBI's taxonomy places the organism in Eukaryota, Metazoa, Chordata, Mammalia, Eulipotyphla, Erinaceidae.